Molecule: long non-coding RNA, 410 nt
Filed under: Trifolium pratense (red clover)
Lineage: Eukaryota; Viridiplantae; Streptophyta; Magnoliopsida; Fabales; Fabaceae
Description: long non-coding RNA (TPRA_LNC003385)
Source: RNAcentral
CAUUUAUAUGGAUUAUAGCAUUAGUGGUGGUUUGUCUAGUCUAUAUGAUUUAUUUGUCAUGGAAUGUGUAUAAUGAAGAUUUCGAUAGAAGGUAGUGGUUGUCAUUUUGCUUUUGGAUCUUGCAGGCUAUUUGGAGUUGGUUAAUAAUGUGUUGUAGGUUUUGUUUAUUGGCUUUUUUUCUUGUUUUUUGUUUCGAUGUUGCAUAGCUUUUGUGAUUAACUCUGUUUCUGGUAGUUAUAUUAUGUUAGUUGUAUUUCUGUAGUUGCUUACCUUGAGCUCAAUCUAAGCAGUAACAUUUUGCUUAAUUUUCAACCAAACUCCAAUAUAACAAAUAACUAUGGAUUAGUUUGUAAAUUAAUUUUUUUUCUAUUGCAAGAAAAAUAAAAUAUCACCACAGCAUCAAACAUAUA